AGAGUUUGAUCCUGGCUCAGGACGAACGCUGGCGGCGUGCCUAACACAUGCAAGUCGAACGGAACUGUUUUGAAAGAUUUCUUCGGAAUGAAUUUGAUUUAGUUUAGUGGCGGACGGGUGAGUAACGCGUGAGUAACCUGCCUUCAAGAGGGGGAUAACAUUCUGAAAAGAAUGCUAAUACCGCAUGACAUAUCGGAACCACAUGGUUCUGAUAUCAAAGAUUUUAUCGCUUGAAGAUGGACUCGCGUCCGAUUAGUUAGUUGGUGAGGUAACGGCUCACCAAGACCGCGAUCGGUAGCCGGACUGAGAGGUUGAACGGCCACAUUGGGACUGAGACACGGCCCAGACUCCUACGGGAGGCAGCAGUGGGGGAUAUUGCGCAAUGGGGGCAACCCUGACGCAGCAACGCCGCGUGAAGGAUGAAGGUUUUCGGAUUGUAAACUUCUUUUAUUAAGGACGAAAAAUGACGGUACUUAAUGAAUAAGCUCCGGCUAACUACGUGCCAGCAGCCGCGGUAAUACGUAGGGAGCAAGCGUUGUCCGGAUUUACUGGGUGUAAAGGGUGCGUAGGCGGCUUUGCAAGUCAGAUGUGAAAUCUAUGGGCUCAACCCAUAAACUGCAUUUGAAACUGUAGAGCUUGAGUGAAGUAGAGGCAGGCGGAAUUCCCCGUGUAGCGGUGAAAUGCGUAGAGAUGGGGAGGAACACCAGUGGCGAAGGCGGCCUGCUGGGCUUUAACUGACGCUGAGGCACGAAAGCGUGGGUAGCAAACAGGAUUAGAUACCCUGGUAGUCCACGCUGUAAACGAUGAUUACUAGGUGUGGGGGGUCUGACCCCUUCCGUGCCGGAGUUAACACAAUAAGUAAUCCACCUGGGGAGUAC
This 878-nucleotide ribosomal RNA is filed under the name uncultured bacterium. RNAcentral's name for it is "bacterial SSU rRNA". It matches the Rfam family "Bacterial small subunit ribosomal RNA", at positions 8 to 883 of the family's 1533-position model. The record is from RNAcentral.